AUGGCGACCGGCGCACGGGUGAGUAACACGUAUCCAACCUGCCGAUAACUCCGGAAUAGCCUUUCGAAAGAAAGAUUAAUACCGGAUGGCAUACGAAUAUCGCAUGAUAUUUUUAUUAAAGAAUUUCGGUUAUCGAUGGGGAUGCGUUCCAUUAGUUUGUUGGCGGGGUAACGGCCCACCAAGACUACGAUGGAUAGGGGUUCUGAGAGGAAGGUCCCCCACAUUGGAACUGAGACACGGUCCAAACUCCUACGGGAGGCAGCAUG
RNAcentral lists this ribosomal RNA (266 nucleotides) under uncultured bacterium. Its description in RNAcentral is "partial 16S ribosomal RNA". It matches the Rfam family "Bacterial small subunit ribosomal RNA", at positions 88 to 353 of the family's 1533-position model. The record is from RNAcentral.